This is a small nucleolar RNA of Grammomys surdaster, 132 nucleotides long. RefSeq annotates it as small nucleolar RNA SNORA17. The record is from RefSeq and is a predicted model, not a curated record. The transcript has a single exon. Lineage: Eukaryota; Metazoa; Chordata; Mammalia; Rodentia; Muridae.
CCUGUCCCUAGAAGCAUUGCAGGCCUGACUGCUGUAUCACGUGUGCAUCAGUAGGUGGCAAAGAGGAGAGAGGCUAUGUCUGCAUUCAGUGUCCUUACCUAUGAACACCUGAAUGAUUAGUAGCCUAACAUU